CCUACGGGUUGCAGCAGUGGGGAAUAUUGCACAAUGGGCGCAAGCCUGAUGCAGCCAUGCCGCGUGUAUGAAGAAGGCCUUCGGGUUGUAAAGUACUUUCAGCGGGGAUGAAGGGAGUAAAGUUAAUACCUUUGCUCAUUGACGUUACCUACAGAAGAAGCACCGGCUAACUCCGUGCCAGCAGCCGCGGUAAUACGGAGGGUGCGAGCGUUAAUCGGAAUUACUGGGCGUAAAGCGCAUGCAGGCGGCCUGUUAAGUCAGAUGUGAAAUCCCCGGGCUCAACCUGGGAACUGCAUCUGAUACUGGCAAGCUUGAGUCUCGUAGAGGGGGGUAGAAUUCCAGGUGUAGCGGUGAAAUGCGUAGAGAUCUGGAGGAAUACCGGUGGCGAAGGCGGCCCCCUGGACGAAGACUGACGCUCAGGUGCGAAAGCGUGGGGAGCAAACAGGAUUAGAUACCCGCGUAGUC
Molecule: ribosomal RNA, 465 nt
Filed under: uncultured bacterium
Lineage: Bacteria
Description: bacterial SSU rRNA
Rfam family: Bacterial small subunit ribosomal RNA
Source: RNAcentral